CCAAAAUCCGACUAGACGAUUAUUACAUUCGCUCUCUAUUCGGAAGGCGGCUAUGCCAUGAUCAAGAGAUCGCGGAGCCGGCGACAGUUUUGGCUCAGAAAACGUACCUCAAUCGAGAGAUGAGAUACGGCGGUGUACUCCUAAUUAUCCCAACUGUCAAAUCGAGAAGAUUGAAAUACUGCUGGUUUUUAAUGACUGGUAUUUUCGUCAGCAUUGGAUUCUAGCGUUGGGGUAACAGUAUGGUCGCGUUUAUCAGAAAUAAUGGGAGACAAGCGUCAGUCGUGCGGAUUCAAGAGGACCAAGAUGGGAGAAGAUUCACAGGGAAACGGAAGAUUGUGAACUGUAAGGAGAUGAUUCGGGCUCUGAGUUGCGGAAAUUCUCAUACGGUUUAACUGUCUGAAGAGGGCCGGGUUCUCUGCUUGGACAAAGCCAAUAGUCCCAGACCGACAUGCUCCAGCUCCUGUUGAUUGCCUGAAUCUGAAGAAGACUGUUUUGAUUUCAUGUGGAGGAGAACAUACUGCCGUUCUGACAAAGGGAGGUGUGGCGUUCACAUUUGGCUUAGGCCGCUAUGGACAGCUUGGACACAACUAUCUCCAGGAUGAACUACGACCUCGAAUGUUAAAGAUCAGACCGACGACCAGAAGAUCGAACACAUUUUUGUCGGAGGGAACCAUUCCUUGCAUUGUGCGCUCUUGGUCAGGUAUGGACACUAUUUGGUUUGAAGCAUUUAGUUAGCAAAACAGGACAUGGUUUGUCCUUUGUACUUAACGUUGCUGUGAUUUUUUUAUUUUUUUUGCGUCACAUUGUCAUCUUCCCAGGAGACUGAAGGUCAAUCUCAGGUCAAAUGACUCAACAAGCUGAAGAAAUCAUUGACAAAUGGAUCUCAGAAUGUGAUUCAAAAUAAUGGAAAAAAGUACAGAAGUAAGUAUGAUAUAAGUAACUAGCAUUUACUGUUGUUUCCUUAUUUUGUUCAUGUUCAGUCACAUACUGAACUGAAAGGUUGAAGCUGUUGUCCAGCACACACUACUUCCCUCCUUGUAUGAGAAGCCCAUUGGAGUGGAGGGCUUGAGGGUCUAUCUGGUUCUCCCUGAGCUCCUGAAUGUCCUUCACAAACAGCACAGAAGGACAGAUCUCACCGAAGCCGUUGCUGCUGCUAUCCUCAGACUGCACCCCGACAAGCUGCAGGUCCUCGGUAAUAUUGCCGUCCAUUUAAAAUGUUUAAAGUGUGUCACCCCAAAUUCAACUAAUCAACAAUAACGUAGUCGUAUAUCUGUUUGUGCUGUAGCCAACUUCUAUUGUCCUUGUUCAUUCGCUGUCUGGAAGAUUUAGACUAGGCUAAAUUAACAAAACCAGAGAUUAUUUGAAUCAAGCGUGGUAGUGCUGGGCUAAAACAUAAUGUGUACACUUUGAGGAUGCCUCUGGAAUGAUUGUGAAGUAGAGCAAAUUCUAUGCUCCCACAAAAUAAUUUGAGAAAGGAAAUAAAAUAAAACAAGGUUAUAUACAGGGGGUGCCAGUACCGAGUCAAUGUGCGGAGGCACAGGUUAGUUGAGGUAAUUUGUACAUAUAGGUACGGGUGAAGUGACUAUGCAUAGUUAAUAAACACUGAGUAGCA
Salmo salar (Atlantic salmon) is the source of this 1612-nucleotide non-coding RNA. The record is from RefSeq and is a predicted model, not a curated record. NCBI's taxonomy places the organism in Eukaryota, Metazoa, Chordata, Actinopteri, Salmoniformes, Salmonidae.